AUGCCUGCUGGCACAUCUGAGGCAUUUUCCAAAUUUCUGGGGAGGGGAAAUUCUGGCCGUGUGCAUUGCCAUGAAGGCGAGGGAAGAGCCUGCUGUUCCCAGCCCUCUCGCACACACACCCCAAAUCCCCACCGCAAGCACCGGGGCAUUCCCACGCCGGCUUUAGGGUCGCGGCCGUGCCCUGCUGGGGGCUCCCACCCCCUGCGGAGCCCCCCAUCCCCGCGGGACCCCAGAUCAGCGGGCCGGGGGCCGCAGGGCUGUACCCGGGGGGGCUGCAGCUGCCCCCCGGUGCCUCCCCGGGCUGCGGGGCCAGGCGGUGCGGCUCACCUGGGCGCAGAGAGCGCUGCCGCUGCCCCUGCAGCCCGGCUGCCAUUUGUUGCUCGCGUUCAGAGGGAGCUGCCCUCUCCUCCCCAUCACCACCGCCACCCGGCAGCAACUGGUCCUGGGAGGUGUCAAAGUGGAAAAACCCCAGGGCAGAGCAAACGGCGCCCUCCCGGCAAGGCGGGCACGGAGAGGGGGGCGCUUUUUGCUCCGCUUUUUGGCAUCGGGGUCGCGAGGCUCAGCCCCUCGCUCGGUGCCGAGCAGGGGGUGGCAGCCCCCUCCCCGCAGCCUCCCCGCCCCUUCUCCCCUCCUUCCCCCGCCGCCUCGGCGCAGCCCCAGCCCCGGCUGUACCGGGAGCAUCUCCGGGGGCCCUGGCUGAUCCGUGUCCCGCUCGGCUCAGCACGGCACGGCUCGGCACGGCACGGCACGGCGCUGCUCGCCUCCCUCUCUCCCUCCCCGUCGAGUUUCCUCCCGGCUCCGCCGCCUCCCCCCCCACGUCGCACGACCCCGCAACUUACAUCGCGGAGCGGCGCCUCCCCGCAAAACUUCGCGGUGUGCCGCCCCCGGCGGCUCGGCACGGCUCGGCACGGCUCGGCACGGCUCGGCACGGCUCGGCACGGCUUAGCACGGCUCGGCACGGCCCGGCGCAACAGGCAGCGCAGCCUCACCUGGCGCGGAGCCGCCGCGCCAUGGGAGCGACGGGCGGAGCCUGCCGGCGGCACGGCCAGGACCGGGGGCGGUGGGGCCGGGGCCGGGGCCGGGGCCGGGGGGGGCCGGGGCGCAGCCACCGCCCGGCCGCCCUCCUGCCUCCGCCGGGCGGCUCUGCCUGCGCCGCCGCCGCUCCCUCCUGCCCCUGCGCUGCGGCUGCAGGCAGGCGGGGAGGGAGGAGAGAGCAGAGGGUGGGAGGGAGGAAGGAGGAGACUCCCCUCCCGCUGCCACAGGCACGGCGGGGGGAUGCUCCCCCGAGGGGAGAUGCUCCCCCGGAGCGGGGGUGCCGGCGGGGAGCGUCCCCUCCCCUCCCGGUGCUGGCUCCCCCCGGCGGCAGGGGUGCGGGGGGCAGAGCGCGGCCCCGAGGGGCGCAGCCGUGCCCCUGCUGCGCGCCCCGCCACCUCAUCGCAGCUGUAG
Molecule: long non-coding RNA, 1446 nt
Filed under: Anas platyrhynchos platyrhynchos (common mallard)
Lineage: Eukaryota; Metazoa; Chordata; Aves; Anseriformes; Anatidae
Description: lncRNA (ENSAPLG00000025884.1)
Source: RNAcentral